RNAcentral lists this ribosomal RNA (203 nucleotides) under Vibrio sp. 11-4(1). RNAcentral's name for it is "partial 16S ribosomal RNA". It matches the Rfam family "Bacterial small subunit ribosomal RNA", at positions 1 to 187 of the family's 1533-position model. Lineage: Bacteria; Pseudomonadati; Pseudomonadota; Gammaproteobacteria; Vibrionales; Vibrionaceae. The record is from RNAcentral.
AAAUUGAAGAGUUUGAUCAUGGCUCAGAUUGAACGCUGGCGGCAGGCCUAACACAUGCAAGUCGAGCGGAAACGAAUUAUCUGAACCUUCGGGGGACGAUAACGGCGUCGAGCGGCGGACGGGUGAGUAAUGCCUAGGAAAUUGCCCUGAUGUGGGGGAUAACCAUUGGAAACGAUGGCUAAUACCGCAUGAUGCCUACGGGC